ACAGUGGUAGUUCAGUGGUAGAAUUCUCGCCUUCCGAGCGGAGACCCAGGUUCGAUUCCUGGCCAAUGCA
This 70-nucleotide transfer RNA is filed under the name Loxodonta africana (African savanna elephant). It matches the Rfam family "tRNA". Rfam says of the family: Transfer RNA (tRNA) molecules are approximately 80 nucleotides in length. Their secondary structure includes four short double-helical elements and three loops (D, anti-codon, and T loops). The record is from Rfam by way of RNAcentral. Lineage: Eukaryota; Metazoa; Chordata; Mammalia; Proboscidea; Elephantidae.